RNAcentral lists this ribosomal RNA (484 nucleotides) under uncultured bacterium. RNAcentral's name for it is "partial 16S ribosomal RNA". It matches the Rfam family "Bacterial small subunit ribosomal RNA", at positions 29 to 523 of the family's 1533-position model. The record is from RNAcentral.
AGUGAACGCUGGCGGCGUGCUUAACACAUGCAAGUCGAACGAGAACGGGUUAUAGCUUGCUAUAAUUGUCAGCUAAGUGGCGCACGGGUGAGUAAUGUAUAGGUAAUAUGCCUCUUACUAAGGGAUAACAAAUGGAAACGUUUGCUAAUACCUUAUACUCCUUAUUAACAGAAGUUAAUAAGGGACAGAUUUAUUGGUAAGAGAUUAGCCUGUAUUGUAUCAGUUAGUUGGUGGGGUAAUGGCCUACCAAGACUAUGACACAUAACUGGUUUGAGAGGAUGAUCAGUCACACUGGAACUGAGACACGGUCCAGACUCCUACGGGAGGCAGCAGUGGGGAAUAUUGCACAAUGGACGAAAGUCUGAUGCAGCAACGCCGCGUGGAGGAUGACACAUUUCGGUGCGUAAACUCCUUUUAUAUGAGAAGAUAAUGACGGUAUUAUAUGAAGAAGCCCCGGCUAACUUCGUGCCAGCAGCCGCGGUAA